This 89-nucleotide transfer RNA is filed under the name Candidatus Fimousia stercorigallinarum. Its description in RNAcentral is "tRNA-Ser". It matches the Rfam family "tRNA". From Rfam's summary of the family: Transfer RNA (tRNA) molecules are approximately 80 nucleotides in length. Their secondary structure includes four short double-helical elements and three loops (D, anti-codon, and T loops). Further hydrogen bonds mediate the characteristic L-shaped molecular structure. tRNAs have two regions of fundamental functional importance: the anti-codon, which is responsible for specific mRNA codon recognition, and the 3' end, to which the tRNAs corresponding amino acid is attached (by aminoacyl-tRNA synthetases). tRNAs cope with the degeneracy of the genetic code in two manners: having more than one tRNA (with a specific anti-codon) for a particular amino acid; and 'wobble' base-pairing, i.e. permitting non-standard base-pairing at the 3rd anti-codon position. The record is from RNAcentral. Lineage: Bacteria; Bacillati; Bacillota; Clostridia; Lachnospirales; Lachnospiraceae.
GGAGCGGUACUCAAGUUGGUUGAAGAGGACAGAUUCGAAAUCUGUUAGGUCGGGUAACCGGUGCCUGGGUUCGAAUCCCAGUCGCUCCG